This 876-nucleotide ribosomal RNA is filed under the name Phocaeicola vulgatus. RNAcentral describes it as "bacterial LSU rRNA". It matches the Rfam family "Bacterial large subunit ribosomal RNA", at positions 689 to 1566 of the family's 2925-position model. The record is from RNAcentral. Lineage: Bacteria; Pseudomonadati; Bacteroidota; Bacteroidia; Bacteroidales; Bacteroidaceae.
AGGGCGUAUAGUCGGCAGUGGCAGACGCGAAACCAAGUGAUCUACCCUUGGCCAGGUUGAAGGCUGGGUAACACCAGCUGGAGGACCGCACCAAUAAGCGUUGAAAAGCUUCUGGAUGAGCUGAGGGUAGGGGUGAAAGGCUAAUCAAACUUGGAGAUAGCUCGUACUCCCCGAAAUGCAUUUAGGUGCAGCCUUGCGGGUUACUGAUGUGAGGUAGAGCGACUGAUAAGAUGCGAGGGCUUCACCGCCUAUCAAGUCUUGACAAACUCCGAAUGCGCAUCAGUUCUACCGCAGGAGUGAGGGCAUGGGUGCUAAGGUCCGUGCCCGAGAGGAGAAGAAUCCGGACCACCUGCUAAGGUCCCGAAAUGACAGCUAAGUUAAACUAACGAAGUCUGACUGCUAAGACAGCUAGGAUGUUGGCUUGGAAGCAGCCAUUCAUUUAAAGAGUGCGUAACAGCUCACUAGUCGAGGAGUCGGGCGUGGAUAAUAAUCGGGUAUCAAGUUGUCUACCGAAGCAGUGGGAUCAUUGAUAUGAUCGGUAGGGGAGCAUUCCAGUCAGCGUCGAAGGCGUACCGUGAGGUAUUCUGGAGCGUCUGGAAAAGCAAAUGUAGGUAUAAGUAACGAUAAAGGGGGCGGGAAACCCCCUCGCCGAAAGACUAAGGUUUCCUGAUCAACGCUAAUCGGAUCAGGGUCAGUCGGGUCCUAAGGCUCAGCCGAACGGCGAUGCCGAUGGCAGAAACGGUUAAUAUUCCGUUACUACCUUCAGGAGUGACGUGGAGACGCAGUAGUGACAGUGCCGCCAUCUGACGGAAUAGAUGGUUGAAGGGUGUAGGAGUCGAUCAUGGCAGGCAAAUCCACCAUGAGAUCCGAACCUGA